AAAUCCAUUAUAUGAAGAUCCAUAUAUAAGUUAUUUAUUUAAAUUGUAUAGUUCACUAGUAGUUUAUUUUGUGUGACAUUUGAUAAACAACAUGGUUCAACUUAAGGUUUUGGUAAUUUUUUUGAUGGUUUUUCUGGUGAAUAUUAAUGCUGUACCUGUACCUAAUCCUGAUGCAGUAGCUGAAGCCAAUCCUGAUCCAAAACCGAAUCCAUAUUUUUAUGUUGGUUGGGGUCCAUGGUACUGGUGGCCAUACAACAGAGUAGUUUACUAUGGAACUCCAUACGCUGUUGCUAUAUAGUAUAUAGGCUAUAAUGGAAAAUAGAAAAUUGCAGGUUCAGUUUUUGGUUCAGUCAUACUCAGUAGCUUCAAAGUUUGUUUUUGCACAUUUUGGUAGCUUUAAGCUUAUUUCUUUUUUUUUUUAAUACAAUAUUUGCUCAACUAAAAUUGUGAUACCAAAUAGUUAGGCUUUAAAUCAAACGAAAAUAUUAAUUAUUAUUAUUUUUGCUUACUAGCUAUAUAAUUUCAAAAUAAAAUAAAGAAAGUAAAAAAAAUAUAGGCAAGAGUUUGUUUAUGUGAAUUUAAAUAUAAAAAUGCGGAGAACAAAGACGAAACAUAUCUGUUAUUAAUAGAUGAACAUUACCUACAAAUUACAUCAUUUUUCUAGUUACUAAUGACUACAUUAAAUGUAUAUUUAUUGUUGCAAAAUUUGUGAUUAGAUCGUUGUUAUGAAUAUAAAUAUACACUAUUUUCCAUCAA
Molecule: long non-coding RNA, 756 nt
Organism: Sitophilus oryzae (rice weevil)
Lineage: Eukaryota; Metazoa; Arthropoda; Insecta; Coleoptera; Curculionidae
Exons: 3
Source: RefSeq, a predicted model, not a curated record